This 391-nucleotide ribosomal RNA is filed under the name uncultured eukaryote. RNAcentral describes it as "partial 18S ribosomal RNA". It matches the Rfam family "Eukaryotic small subunit ribosomal RNA", at positions 592 to 976 of the family's 1831-position model. The record is from RNAcentral.
CAGUAGCGUAUAUUAAAGUUGUUGCAGUUAAAAAGCUCGUAGCUGGAUUUCUGGUUUGACGAGUCUGACCCGCUGCGUUCAUUCGCAGUGAGUGUCGGUUUGCUUGUCUACCAUCCUUCCAGAAAACGAUUCUACCCUUUACUGGGCCGGGAUCGCAAUCUGGAACUUUUACUUUGAAAAAAUUAUAGUGUUCAAAGCAGGCUUGCGCUGUGAAUACAUUAGCAUGGAAUAAUAAUUUAGGACUUCGGUUCUAUUUUGUUGGUUUUCAGGACUGGAGUAAUGAUUGAUAGGGAUAGUUGGGGGUGCUAGUAUUCAGCGGCCAGAGGUGAAAUUCUUGGAUUCGCUGAAGACUAACUUAUGCGAAAGCAUUCACCAAGGAUGUCUUCUUUAA